This 440-nucleotide ribosomal RNA is filed under the name uncultured bacterium. RNAcentral describes it as "partial 16S ribosomal RNA". It matches the Rfam family "Bacterial small subunit ribosomal RNA", at positions 338 to 795 of the family's 1533-position model. The record is from RNAcentral.
CCUACGGGCGGCAGCAGUGGGGGAUAUUGCACAAUGGGGGGAACCCUGAUGCAGCGACGCCGCGUGGGUGAAGGAGGGUUUCGGCGCGUAAAGCCCUAUCGGCAGGGAAGAAGAUGACGGUACCUGACCAAGAAGCCCCGGCUAACUACGUGCCAGCAGCCGCGGUAAUACGUAGGGGGCAAGCGUUAAUCGGAAUUACUGGGCGUAAAGCGAUCGUAGGCGGUAUGGCAAGUCAAGGGUGAAAUCCCCGCGCUGAACGUGGGAACUGCAUUUGAAACUGGCAAACUGGAGUGUGUGAGAGGUUAGUGGAAUUCCAGGUGUAGCGGUGAAAUCCGUAGAUAUCUGGAGGAACAUCAGUGGCGAAGGCGACUAUCUGGCACAUAACUGACGCUGAGGAGCGAAAGCGUGGGUAGCAAACAGGAUUAGAUACCCGUGUAGUC